AGAGCGAACGCUGGCGGCAGGCCUAACACAUGCAAGUCGAGCGCCCGUAGCAAUACGGGAGCGGCAGACGGGAUAGUAACACGUGGGAACGCGCCCUUCGGUUCGGAAUAACUCAGGGAAACUUGAGCUAAUACCGGAUACGCCCUUACGGGGAAAGAUUUAUUGCCGAAGGAACGGCCCGCGUCCGAUUAGCUAGUUGGUGAGGUAAUGGCUCACCAAGGCGACGAUCGGUAGCUGGUCUGAGAGGAUGACCAGCAUCACUGGGACUGAGACACGGCCCAGACUCCUACGGGAGGCAGCAGUGGGGAAUAUGACAAUGGCGCAAGCCUGAUCCAGCCAUGCCGCGUGGAUGAUGAAGGCCUUAGGGUUGUAAAGUCCGUUUAACGGGAAGAUAAUGACGGUACCGUAGAAUAAGCCCGGCUAACUUCGUGCCAGCAGCCGC
Molecule: ribosomal RNA, 442 nt
Filed under: uncultured bacterium
Lineage: Bacteria
Description: SSU rRNA
Rfam family: Bacterial small subunit ribosomal RNA
Source: RNAcentral